Molecule: unclassified non-coding RNA, 404 nt
Filed under: soil metagenome
Description: partial contains 5.8S ribosomal RNA, internal transcribed spacer 2, and large subunit ribosomal RNA
Rfam family: 5.8S ribosomal RNA (bases 1-121)
Source: RNAcentral
GAUGAAGAACGUAGUGAAAUGCGAUAAGUAAUGUGAAUUGCAGAAUUCAGUGAAUCAUCGAAUCUUUGAACGCACCUUGCGCCCUUUGGCCAUUCCGAAGGGCAUGCCUGUUUGAGUAUCAUGAACACCUCAACUCCUCAUGGUCUUCUAUGAUGAGCUUGGACUUUGGGGGCUUGCUGGCCCAUUUGGUCAGCUCCUCUCAAAUGAAUCAGCCUACCAGUGUUUGGUGGCACCACAGGUGUGAUAACAAUCUACGCUUGAGGUUUUCCACCAGGCAACCUUCAGUAAUUGGGGUUCACUGGGGCUCACAAAUGUCUUUCUUCAGUGAGGACAGCUCUUUGAAUGUUUGAUCUCAAAUCAGGUAGGACUACCCGCUGAACUUAAGCAUAUCAAUAAGCGGAGGA